CAUAGGUUAAUGAGGCGAACCGGGGGAACUGAAACAUCUAAGUACCCCGAGGAAAAGAAAUCAACCGAGAUUCCCCCAGUAGCGGCGAGCGAACGGGGAGGAGCCCAGAGCCUGAAUCAGUGUGUGUGUUAGUGGAAGCGUCUGGAAAGGCGCGCGAUACAGGGUGACAGCCCCGUACACAAAAAUGCACAUAUUGUGAGCUCGAUGAGUAGGGCGGGACACGUGGUAUCCUGUCUGAAUAUGGGGGGACCAUCCUCCAAGGCUAAAUACUCCUGACUGACCGAUAGUGAACCAGUACCGUGAGGGAAAGGCGAAAAGAACCCCGGCGAGGGGAGUGAAAAAGAACCUGAAACCGUGUACGUACAAGCAGUGGGAGCCUCUUUUAUGGGGUGACUGCGUACCUUUUGUAUAAUGGGUCAGCGACUUAUAUUCUGUAGCAAGGUUAACCGAAUAGGGGAGCCGAAGGGAAACCGAGUCUUAACUGGGCGUUAAGUUGCAGGGUAUAGACCCGAAACCCGGUGAUCUAGCCAUGGGCAGGUUGAAGGUUGGGUAACACUAACUGGAGGACCGAACCGACUAAUGUUGAAAAAUUAGCGGAUGACUUGUGGCUGGGGGUGAAAGGCCAAUCAAACCGGGAGAUAGCUGGUUCUCCCCGAAAGCU
RNAcentral lists this ribosomal RNA (661 nucleotides) under Escherichia coli. RNAcentral's name for it is "partial 23S ribosomal RNA". It matches the Rfam family "Bacterial large subunit ribosomal RNA", at positions 165 to 867 of the family's 2925-position model. Lineage: Bacteria; Pseudomonadati; Pseudomonadota; Gammaproteobacteria; Enterobacterales; Enterobacteriaceae. The record is from RNAcentral.